This 388-nucleotide ribosomal RNA is filed under the name uncultured bacterium. Its description in RNAcentral is "bacterial SSU rRNA". It matches the Rfam family "Bacterial small subunit ribosomal RNA", at positions 28 to 417 of the family's 1533-position model. The record is from RNAcentral.
GACGAACGCUGGCGGCGUGCUUAACACAUGCAAGUCGAGCGGUAAGGCCCUUUCGGGGGUACACGAGCGGCGAACGGGUGAGUAACACGUGGGUGACCUGCCCUCAGCUCUGGGAUAAGCCUGGGAAACUGGGUCUAAUACCGGAUAUGACUCCAUGACGCAUGUUGUGGGGUGGAAAGCCUUGUGCGGCUGAGGAUGGACCCGCGGCCUAUCAGCUUGUUGGUGGGGUGANGGCCUACCAAGGCGACGACGGGUAGCCGGCCUGAGAGGGCGACCGGCCACACUGGGACUGAGACACGGCCCAGACUCCUACGGGAGGCAGCAGUGGGGAAUCUUGCGCAAUGGGCGAAAGCCUGACGCAGCGACGCCGCGUGAGGGAUGACGGCCU